GUGCAGCAGUCGAGAAUCCUCCGCAAUGCGGGAAACCGCGACGGGGGACCCCGAGUGCCGUGGCAACGCCACGGCUUUUCCGGAGUGUAAAAAGCUCCGGGAAUAAGGGCUGGGCAAGGCCGGUGGGCAGCCGCCGCGGUAAUACCGGCGGCCCGAGUGGUGGCCGCUAUUAUUGGGCCCAAAGCGUCCGUAGCCGGGCCCGUAAGUCCCUGGCGGAAAUCCCACGGCUCAACCGUGGGGCUUGCUGGGGAUACUGCGGGUCUUGGGACC
RNAcentral lists this ribosomal RNA (270 nucleotides) under uncultured microorganism. RNAcentral describes it as "partial 16S ribosomal RNA". It matches the Rfam family "Archaeal small subunit ribosomal RNA", at positions 330 to 600 of the family's 1478-position model. The record is from RNAcentral.